Molecule: ribosomal RNA, 253 nt
Filed under: uncultured bacterium
Lineage: Bacteria
Description: partial 16S ribosomal RNA
Rfam family: Bacterial small subunit ribosomal RNA
Source: RNAcentral
UACGUAGGGUGCAAGCGUUGUCCGGAAUUAUUGGGCGUAAAGGGCUCGUAGGCGGUCUGUCGCGUCGGGAGUGAAAACUCAGGGCUUAACCCUGAGCCUGCUUCCGAUACGGGCAGACUAGAGGUAUGCAGGGGAGAACGGAAUUCCUGGUGUAGCGGUGAAAUGCGCAGAUAUCAGGAGGAACACCGGUGGCGAAGGCGGGUCUCUGGGCCGAUACUGACGCUGAGGAGCGAAAGCGUGGGGAGCGAACAGG